Molecule: ribosomal RNA, 697 nt
Filed under: uncultured Vagococcus sp.
Lineage: Bacteria; Bacillati; Bacillota; Bacilli; Lactobacillales; Enterococcaceae
Description: bacterial SSU rRNA
Rfam family: Bacterial small subunit ribosomal RNA
Source: RNAcentral
GUAAACGAUGAGUGCUAAGUGUUGGAGGGUUUCCCCAUUCAGUGCUGCAGCAAACGCAUUAAGCACUCCGCUGGGGAGUACGACCGCAAGGUUGAAACUCAAAGGAAUUGACGGGGGCCCGCACAGCGGUGGAGCAUGUGGUUUAAUUCGAAGCAACGCGAAGAACCUUACCAGGUCUUGACAUCCUUUGACCACUCUAGAGAUAGAGCUUUCCCUUCGGGGACAAAGUGACAGGUGGUGCAUGGUUGUCGUCAGCUCGUGUCGUGAGAUGUUGGGUUAAGUCCCGCAACGAGCGCAACCCUUAUUGUUAGUUGCCAUCAUUUAGUUGGGCACUCUAGCGAGACUGCCGGUGACAAACCGGAGGAAGGUGGGGAUGACGUCAAAUCAUCAUGCCCCUUAUGACCUGGGCUACACACGUGCUACAAUGGGAAGUACAACGAGUCGCUAGGCCGCGAGGUCAUGCAAAUCUCUUAAAGCUUCUCUCAGUUCGGAUUGUAGGCUGCAACUCGCCUACAUGAAGCCGGAAUCGCUAGUAAUCGCGGAUCAGCACGCCGCGGUGAAUACGUUCCCGGGCCUUGUACACACCGCCCGUCACACCACGAAAGUUUGUAACACCCGAAGUCGGUGAGGUAACCUUUUGGAGCCAGCCGCCUAAGGUGGGAUAGAUGAUUGGGGUGAAGUCGUAACAAGGUAACCA